Molecule: long non-coding RNA, 849 nt
Organism: Oncorhynchus keta (chum salmon)
Lineage: Eukaryota; Metazoa; Chordata; Actinopteri; Salmoniformes; Salmonidae
Exons: 7
Source: RefSeq, a predicted model, not a curated record
UGGAUGGUCUUAUUGGUACUAUAGUAUUACCAGUCUAAUCUAUUGGAUGGUCUUAUAGGUACUAUAGUAUUGCCAGUCUAAUCUAUUGGAUGGUCUUAUAGGUACUAUAGUAUUGCCAGCCUAAUCUAUUGGAUGGUCUUAUAGGUACUAUAGUAUUGCCAGUCUAAUCUAUUGGAUGGUCUUAUAGGUACUAUAGUAUUGCCAGUCUAAUCUAUUGGAUGGUCUUACAGGUACUAUAGUAUUGCCAGUCUAAUCUAUUGGAUGGUCUUAUAGGUACUAUAGUAUUGCCAGUCUAAUCUAUUGGAUGGUCUUAUAGGUACUAUAGUAUUGCCAGUCUAAUCUAUUGGAUGGUCUUAUAGGUACUAUAGUAUUGCCAGUCUAAUCUAUUGGAUGGUCUUAUAGGUACUAUAGUAUUGCCAGUCUAAUCUAUUGGAUGGUCUUACAGGUACUAUAGUAUUGCCAGUCUAAUCUAUUGGAUGGUCUUAUAGGUACUAUAGUAUUGCCAGUCUAAUCUAUUGGAUGGUCUUAUAGGUACUAUAGUAUUGCCAGUCUAAUCUAUUGGAUGGUCUUAUAGGUACUAUAGUAUUGCCAGUCUAAUCUAUUGGAUGGUCUUAUAGGUACUAUAGUAUUGCCAGUCUAAUCUAUUGGAUGGUCUUAUUGGUACUAUAGUAUUGCCAGUCUAAUCUAUUGGAUGGUCUUAUAGGUACUAUAGUAUUGCCAGUCUAAUCUAUUGGAUGGUCUUAUAGGUACUAUAGUAUUGCCAGUCUAAUCUAUUGGAUGGUCUUAUAGGUACUAUAGUAUUGCCAGUCUAAUCUAUUGGAUGGUCUUAUAGGCACUAUAGUAUUGGAU